UUUUCUGAAGUUAAACAUGUCUCCCUUCUUAAUUUGAUUUAUCAAAAAGUUUGUUUUUUCUUUACAGAUACUUUCCAAGAAAUCUUCAGAUUAAACUGGAUCCAGUUUUCUUAACUCAUGAAUGGUUUUUGAGCACACAGUGGAUGGUGGACAUUUAUAUUAUGUCUCCUUACAAGCAGGCAACGUCAUACAGAAUCAGCAAGAGCUUCUUGCAGCCUUGAAAGGGGUCACUGCUGUCACAGGGCAAUCUUCCUCUCUGUUUAGGUUUUGAUGGGUAAUUACCUGCUGACAGGUAAUGUAUUAUAGGAAUAAGGUAAUAUAUUCUUACGAUUUAC
This 335-nucleotide long non-coding RNA is filed under the name Mustela putorius furo (domestic ferret). Its description in RNAcentral is "lncRNA (ENSMPUG00000026081.1)". The record is from RNAcentral. Lineage: Eukaryota; Metazoa; Chordata; Mammalia; Carnivora; Mustelidae.